This 424-nucleotide ribosomal RNA is filed under the name uncultured bacterium. Its description in RNAcentral is "bacterial SSU rRNA". It matches the Rfam family "Bacterial small subunit ribosomal RNA", at positions 355 to 796 of the family's 1533-position model. The record is from RNAcentral.
UCGGGAAUUUUGCGCAAUGGGCGAAAGCCUGACGCAGCAACGCCGCGUGAGGGAUGACGGCCUUCGGGUUGUAAACCUCUUUUGUCAGGGACGAUGAUGACGGUACCUGACGAAUAAGCCACGGCUAACUACGUGCCAGCAGCCGCGGUAAUACGUAGGUGGCAAGCGUUGUCCGGAUUUACUGGGCGUAAAGAGCGCGCAGGCGGUCGUUCAAGUCGCGUGUGAAAGCCCCCGGCUCAACUGGGGAGGGUCACGCGAUACUGAUCGACUCGAAGGCAGGAGAGGGAAGUGGAAUUCCCGGUGUAGUGGUGAAAUGCGUAGAUAUCGGGAGGAACACCAGUGGCGAAGGCGACUUCCUGGCCUGUUCUUGACGCUGAGGCGCGAAAGCUAGGGGAGCAAACGGGAUUAGAUACCCCCGUAGUCC